UACAGCACCAUUCGCCACGAAGUGAAUCAAGGUGCACACGCACAAAGGGGUCCACAGCAUAGUGGGAGAGGAACCUAUCGACCUCCUAGGCGUGCAAAAACGACACAUGCAAGUAAUCACAGCGCAGGCUCUUUAUGACGGAGCAUUUGUGUGCAAGAGCAGAUGGUGCCAAUAAAAGACGAAAUCCAA
This is a long non-coding RNA of Dermacentor andersoni, 189 nucleotides long. RefSeq lists it as uncharacterized. Lineage: Eukaryota; Metazoa; Arthropoda; Arachnida; Ixodida; Ixodidae. The record is from RefSeq and is a predicted model, not a curated record.